UCCCUAGUAGCGGCGAGCGAAGCGGGAAGAGCUCAAAUUUAUAAUCUGGCACCUUCGGUGUCCGAGUUGUAAUCUCUAGAAAUGUUUUCCGCGUUGGACCGCACACAAGUCUGUUGGAAUACAGCGGCAUAGUGGUGAGACCCCCGUAUAUGGUGCGGACGCCCAGCGCUUUGUGAUACAUUUUCGAAGAGUCGAGUUGUUUGGGAAUGCAGCUCAAAUUGGGUGGUAAAUUCCAUCUAAAGCUAAAUAUUGGCGAGAGACCGAUAGCGAACAAGUACCGUGAGGGAAAGAUGAAAAGCACUUUGGAAAGAGAGUUAACAGUACGUGAAAUUGUUGGAAGGGAAACGCUUGAAGUCAGACUUGCUUGCCGAGCAAUCGGUUUGCAGGCCAGCAUCAGUUUUCCGGGAUGGAUAAUGGUAGAGAGAAGGUAGCAGUUUCGGCUGUGUUAUAGCUCUCUGCUGGAUACAUCUUGGGGGACUGAGGAACGCAGUGUGCCUUUGGCGGGGGUUUCGACCUCUUCACACUUAGGAUGCUGGUGGAAUGGCUUUAAACGACCCGUCUUAA
Molecule: ribosomal RNA, 564 nt
Filed under: Rhodotorula mucilaginosa
Lineage: Eukaryota; Fungi; Basidiomycota; Microbotryomycetes; Sporidiobolales; Sporidiobolaceae
Description: partial large subunit ribosomal RNA
Rfam family: Eukaryotic large subunit ribosomal RNA
Source: RNAcentral